CCUACGGGAGGCAGCAGUGGGGAAUAUUGCACAAUGGGGGAAACCCUGAUGCAGCGACGCCGCGUGAGUGAUGAAGUAUCUCGGUAUGUAAAGCUCUUUCAGCAGGGAAGAAAAUGACGGUACCUGACUAAUAAGCCACGGAUAACUACGUGCAAGCAGCCGCGGUAAUACGUAGGGGGCCAGCGUUAUCCGGAUUUACUGGGUGUAAAGGGAGCGUAGGCGGCGCUGCAAGUGCGGAGUGAAAGCCCAUGGCUUAACCAUGGUACUGCUGUUGAAACUGUGGAGCUUGAGUGUGGGAGGGGCAGGCGGAAUUCCGAGUGUAGCGGUGAAAUGCGUAGAUAUUAGGAGGAACACCGGCGGCGAAGGCGGCCUGCUGGACCGUAACUGACGCUGAUGCACGAAAGCGUGGGGAGCAAACAGGAUUAGAUACCCUUGUAGUC
Molecule: ribosomal RNA, 440 nt
Filed under: uncultured bacterium
Lineage: Bacteria
Description: partial 16S ribosomal RNA
Rfam family: Bacterial small subunit ribosomal RNA
Source: RNAcentral